AGAAUAAUCGUGUCACGGUCAAAAUAUACCACCUAUCAUUGCAUACCACAUCUUCGGCACUCAAAUCGAGCAAUUGUAUAUUUAUAACGAAUCUCACACACACCUCAUCUCCCUCGUCGUCAAUGGCCACACAUGUUUUAAUUCAAAUUGUCAUCCCUACUGAGCACAAAUUGUCACCCUGCUUAAUACAAUUUGCCAUCUCUGAUGAGCACAAAUUGCCACCCCCACUUAAUACAAAUUGGCGUCUCUCAUGAAUACAAAAUUGUCACCGCUGUUUAAUUCAAUUGUCAUUCCUAAUGAGUACAAAUUGCCAACCCCGCUUA
RNAcentral lists this long non-coding RNA (323 nucleotides) under Brachypodium distachyon (stiff brome). RNAcentral's name for it is "long non-coding RNA (BDIS_LNC002969)". Lineage: Eukaryota; Viridiplantae; Streptophyta; Magnoliopsida; Poales; Poaceae. The record is from RNAcentral.